GACGAACGCUGGCGGCGUGCUUAACACAUGCCAGUCGAACGGAAAGGCCCUGCUUUUGUGGGGUGCUCGAGUGGCGAACGGUUGAGUAACACGUGAGUAACCUGCCCUUGACUUUGGGAUAACUUCAGGAAACUGGGGCUAAUACCGGAUAGGAGCUCCUGCUGCAUGGUGGGGGUUGGAAAGUUUCGGCGGUUGGGGAUGGACUCGCGGCUUAUCAGCUUGUUGGUGGGGUAGUGGCUUACCAAGGCUUUGACGGGUAGCCGGCCUGAGAGGGUGACCGGCCACAUUGGGACUGCGAUACGGCCCAGACUCCUACGGGAGGCAGCAGUGGGGAAUAUUGCACAAUGGGCGGAAGCGUGAUGCAGCAACGCCGCGUGCGGGAUGACGGCCUUCGGGUUGUAAACCGCUUUCGCCUGUGACGAAGCGUGAGUGACGGUAAUGGGUAAAGAAGCACCGGCUAACUACGUG
RNAcentral lists this ribosomal RNA (468 nucleotides) under uncultured bacterium. Its description in RNAcentral is "partial 16S ribosomal RNA". It matches the Rfam family "Bacterial small subunit ribosomal RNA", at positions 28 to 507 of the family's 1533-position model. The record is from RNAcentral.